Molecule: ribosomal RNA, 252 nt
Filed under: uncultured bacterium
Lineage: Bacteria
Description: partial 16S ribosomal RNA
Rfam family: Bacterial small subunit ribosomal RNA
Source: RNAcentral
GACGAACCGUGCGAACGUUGUUCGGAUUCACUGGGCUUAAAGGGCGCGUAGGCGGCUUGCCAAGUCAGGGUGAAAUCUUUCGGCUCAACCGGAAAAGUGCCUUUGAUACUGGCGAGCUAGAGGGAGGUAGGGGUGCGUGGAACUUCUGGUGGAGCGGUGAAAUGCGUAGAUAUCAGGAGGAACACCAAUGGCGAAGGCAGCUCGCUGGGACGUGACUGACGCUGAGACGCGAAAGCGUGGGGAGCAAACAGG